GAUGAACGCUGGCGGCGUGCCUAAUACAUGCAAGUCGAGCGAACAGAUAAGGAGCUUGCUCCUUUGACGUUAGCGGCGGACGGGUGAGUUACACGUGGAUAACCUACCUAUAAGACUGGGAUAACUUCGGGAAACCGGGGCUAAUACCGGAUAACAUAUUGAACCGCAUGGUUCAAUAGUGAAAGGCGGCUUUGCUGUCACUUAUAGAUGGAUCCGCGCCGUAUUAGCUAGUUGGUAAGGUAACGGCUUACCAAGGCAACGAUACGUAGCCGACCUGAGAGGGUGAUCGGCCACACUGGAACUGAGACACGGUCCAGACUCCUACGGGAGGCAGCAGUAGGGAAUCUUCCGCAAUGGGCGAAAGCCUGACGGAGCAACGCCGCGUGAGUGAUGAAGGUCUUCGGAUCGUAAAACUCUGUUAUCAGGGAAGAACAAAUGUGUAAGUAACUGUGCACAUCUUGACGGUACCUGAUCAGAAAGCCACUGCUAACUACGUG
RNAcentral lists this ribosomal RNA (497 nucleotides) under uncultured bacterium. RNAcentral's name for it is "partial 16S ribosomal RNA". It matches the Rfam family "Bacterial small subunit ribosomal RNA", at positions 28 to 507 of the family's 1533-position model. The record is from RNAcentral.